UGCAGUCGAGGGGUACAUGGGUAGCAAUACCUGAUGACGACCGGCAAACGGGUGCGGAACACGUACGCAACCUUCCCAUAACUGGUGAAUAGCCUUUCGAAAGAGAGAUUAAUACACCGUAACAUAAUGAAGAGGCAUCUCUUUAUUAUUAUAGGCCGCAAGGUCGGUUUUGGAUGGGCGUGCGCCUGAUUAGGUAGUUGGCGGGGUAACGGCCCACCAAGCCUGCGAUCAGUAACUGGUGUGAGAGCACGACCAGUCACACGGGCACUGAGACACGGGCCCGACUCCUACGGGAGGCAGCAGUAAGGAAUAUUGGUCAAUGGACGAAAGUCUGAACCAGCCAUGCCGCGUGAAGGAUGAAGGCCCUCUGGGUUGUAAACUUCUUUUAUCUGGGACGAAAAAAGCUCAUUCUUGAGCACUUGACGGUACCAGAGGAAUAAGCACCGGCUAACUCCGUGCCAGCAGCCGCGGUAAUACGGAGGGUGCAAGCGUUAUCCGGAUUUACUGGGUUUAAAGGGUGCGUAGGUGGGCAGGUAAGUCAGCGGUGAAAUCUCCGAGCUUAACUCGGAAACUGCCAUUGAUACUAUCUGUCUUGAAUAUCCUGGAGGUGAGCGGAAUAUGUCAUGUAGCGGUGAAAUGCUUAGAUAUGACAUAGAACACCAAUUGCGAAGGCAGCUCACUACGGGAUUAUUGACACUGAGGCACGAAAGCGUGGGGAUCAAACAGGAUUAGAUACCCUGGUAGUCCACGCCCUAAACGAUGGAUACUCGACAUACGCGAUACACUGUGUGUGUCUGAGCGAAAGCAUUAAGUAUCCCACCU
RNAcentral lists this ribosomal RNA (822 nucleotides) under uncultured bacterium. Its description in RNAcentral is "bacterial SSU rRNA". It matches the Rfam family "Bacterial small subunit ribosomal RNA", at positions 56 to 874 of the family's 1533-position model. The record is from RNAcentral.